Molecule: ribosomal RNA, 485 nt
Filed under: uncultured soil bacterium
Lineage: Bacteria
Description: bacterial SSU rRNA
Rfam family: Bacterial small subunit ribosomal RNA
Source: RNAcentral
AGAUUGAACGCUGGCGGCAUGCUUUACACAUGCAAGUCGAGCGGCAGCGCGGGGGCAACCCUGGCGGCGAGCGGCGAACAGGUGAGGAACACAUCGGAACGUGCCCCGGAGUGGGGGAUAACGCCGCGAAAGCGGCGCUAAUACCGCAUAUGCUCUGAGGAGGAAAGCGGGGGACCUGUGAGGGCCUCGCGCUCUGGGAGCGGCCGAUGUCCGAUUAGCUAGUUGGUGGGUAAUGGCUCACCAAGGCGACGAUCGGUAGCUGGUCUGAGAGGAUGAUCAGCCACACUGGGACUGAGACACGGCCCAGACUCCUACGGGAGGCAGCAGUGGGAAUUUUGGACAAGUGGGGGCAACCCUGAUCCAGCCAUGCCGCGUGCGGAAGAGCUCGGUGUAACGCUUUAGUGGAAGAAAGUAUACCUAAGUAAGAUGACUGUGAGUACGGCGGAAUAAGACACCGACUAACUACGUAGCCUAGCACGCCGACG